Molecule: long non-coding RNA, 1578 nt
Organism: Ipomoea triloba (trilobed morning glory)
Lineage: Eukaryota; Viridiplantae; Streptophyta; Magnoliopsida; Solanales; Convolvulaceae
Exons: 2
Source: RefSeq, a predicted model, not a curated record
CCCUUGCCCGUGGUUUUUACCCUAAUUUGUUUAGGGGUUUUCCACGUAAAAUCUGUGCCUCAUUUAUUUUUACUUUCUCAAAUUAUUGUUGCAAUUUGAUCUAUCCCACUUCCGCGGGCGCAACAAUUGAGCACAAGGACUCUCCCCUCAUUUGAGCUGUUGCUCCCACAGUACUGCUGUUGUUCCCUCUAAAAGUGCGCAGAAAGAGAAGAUACUGUAUCAUAAAAAGUAUGAACAACGUCUGGAUGAUAGUACCUGCCACUGCUCAAAUCCUUGUGAACCGUCAGAGUUUAAUUUCUUGAUAGCAACUUUCAUCCUACAGGCAGAGUUAGACGGUGCAAGUGUCUCGUGAUUGAUCCAGCCCUGAAACACUGCUCCAAAACCCCCCGCCCCCAAGAUCAUGUUAGACCUAAAUUUAUUUGUGGCAGCCUUCAUAUCAGCAAAACUAUAAAUCUUCAGAUUUGGUGCAGGCAAGAUUCCUCCAUUCACACAUGUUUUGUUGCUUUCUCCAGUACUCCCUACUAUUGUGAAGUUGCUAUAGCCAACAGUGCUGCUGCUCACAUUAGUUCUGCUGCUUUUGCUUUUUGGUGUCUCUAUUUGCAAAACAUGUUCAACAUAAGCAGUUAUACCCUUUCCAAAACUUUAAAAAAUAUAAUAAUUAUUACGCAGUAUUAUAAAAUAGUUUUGAGUCUUCACUUUUAGCUCCUGAAAUCUGGAGCUGGCUGUAGCCAGAAACUCUGCUUCUUGCCCAAAAUGUAGUAUUGCCAAAGUUAGUUUUUGAUAUCCCUAUAUCCAAAACAUUAAUGUUAAACACAAGUAAUUAUGGAUGUGACCUAAUGACUAAAAACCAAUAAUUUGUAUAUAUAGAUUACCUAUGGAGAAACACAAUAAACAUAACUUAAAAUUUGCUGGUAACAUUUUCAUUUAUCAACAAAAACAACCUAAUUAAGGUUUCUUGAAAGGAAGCAAGGGCAUGAAGAUGUUUGAUUUAUCUUUCUACUUCUACAAAUUACCAAGAAAAAAAACAUCAAACUUCUCAACAACAGAAAUCAAAUCAAGCCAACACUUCUUGUCUGAUCUUCUUCGGUUCUUAAACAACAAAACCAGAAUAUAAAGCAAAAACACACACAGUAACGAUUAAAGAUGUUUUAUAAUUAGCAUAACAAAGAACAGAAACAUGGAAAGAUAUGAAAUUUAUGGAAACCCAAGAAUGGAAAUUGAACAAAAAUUUUAACUAAAGUAGUACCUGGAGCGGAAGAACAAGCUGAGGAGACGUCGGAAGAAGUGGUGGAAGAGUUAGUGUCAGCAGUCUUGGAACCACAAGGACAACAGCAAUUCCCCAUUGAUUCUCUCACGCUACAAUGAUCGUUACACAAAGGGUCAUUGGUUUUUCAAAGGGAAAACAAAACUAUUUGUACUUUUCUUCAAGGUUGGACUUUAUUCAAAGAUGAUGACAAUUAAAAAGGUUGAGAAACAUACAUAGUUUUAGUUAAUUUCAUGGAAUUGCUAAAUUAGUGUCUGAUUCAUGAGUAUGUUGACAUUUCAAAGAUUAAAGAAAUUUCGGACACUUUACAUUCA